UAUUCUAUAACAUAAAACCAAGCNGGAUACUACAAACCCUGUUUAAAAUUCAAAGAACUUGGCGGUAUCUUAUACAGUCAGGGGAACCUGUCCCUUAAUUCGAUAAUCCACGAAUGUCAUACCAUUUCUUGUUUAACAGCUUGUGUACUGCCGUCGAAUGUACACCUCAAAGAGGAAGUGUACAACAAUGAUCACCAUUGACGUCAGGUCAAGGUGCAGCUAAUGAAAUGGGGGAGAUGGGUUACAACUUCAAAAAAAGCCAAAAACUUAUAAAAACAAGUAAAAAAGAUGGACUUGAAAGUAAUAAUUUUCACUUAAUAAUUAUGAAUUGGAAUCUAAGAUAUGCACACAUCGCCCGUCGCUCUCGUCGAAAGAUG
RNAcentral lists this ribosomal RNA (377 nucleotides) under Limnodrilus hoffmeisteri. Its description in RNAcentral is "partial 12S ribosomal RNA". It matches the Rfam family "Bacterial small subunit ribosomal RNA", at positions 875 to 1415 of the family's 1533-position model. Lineage: Eukaryota; Metazoa; Annelida; Clitellata; Tubificida; Naididae. The record is from RNAcentral.